This 236-nucleotide ribosomal RNA is filed under the name uncultured bacterium. RNAcentral describes it as "partial 16S ribosomal RNA". It matches the Rfam family "Bacterial small subunit ribosomal RNA", at positions 99 to 334 of the family's 1533-position model. The record is from RNAcentral.
CGGACGGGUGAGUAACGCGUGGGUAACCUGCCUUGUACUGGGGGACAACAGUUAGAAAUGACUGCUAAUACCGCAUAAGCGCACAGUAUCGCAUGAUACAGUAGUGAAAAACUCCGGUGGUACAAGAUGGACCCGCGUCUGAUUAGCUAGUUGGUAAGGUAACGGCUUACCAAGGCGACGAUCAGUAGCCGACCUGAGAGGGUGACCGGCCACAUUGGGACUGAGACACGGCCCAA